CCUACGGGAGGCAGCAGUGAGGAAUAUUGGUCAAUGGACGAGAGUCUGAACCAGCCAAGUAGCGUGAAGGAUGACUGCCCUAUGGGUUGUAAACUUCUUUUAUAAAGGAAUAAAACGAGGCACGUGUGCCUUUUUGCAUGUACUUUAUGAAUAAGGAUCGGCUAACUCCGUGCCAGCAGCCGCGGUAAUACGGAGGAUCCGAGCGUUAUCCGGAUUUAUUGGGUUUAAAGGGAGCGUAGAUGGGUUGUUAAGUCAGUUGUGAAAGUUUGCGGCUCAACCGUAAAAUUGCAAUUGAUACUGGCAGUCUUGAGUACAGUUGAGGUAGGCGGAAUUCGUGGUGUAGCGGUGGAAUGCUUAGAUAUCACGAAGAACUCCGAUUGCGAAGGCAGCUUACUAAACUGCCACUGACAUUGAUGCUCGAAAGUGUGGGUAUCAAACAGGAUUAGAUACCCCAGUAGUC
This 460-nucleotide ribosomal RNA is filed under the name uncultured bacterium. RNAcentral's name for it is "partial 16S ribosomal RNA". It matches the Rfam family "Bacterial small subunit ribosomal RNA", at positions 338 to 795 of the family's 1533-position model. The record is from RNAcentral.